Molecule: microRNA precursor, 76 nt
Organism: Caenorhabditis briggsae
Lineage: Eukaryota; Metazoa; Nematoda; Chromadorea; Rhabditida; Rhabditidae
Rfam family: mir-55 microRNA precursor family
Source: Rfam
GGGGGACUCGGCGGAAAAUAUGGUGGUAUACUACACAGUGAAUAGAUAUACCCGUAUAUUUUUCUGCCGAGCCCCU